CCUACGGGAGGCAGCAGUGAGGAAUCUUGGUCAAUGGACGAGAGUCUGAACCAGCCAAGUAGCGUGAAGGAUGACUGCCCUCUGGGUUGUAAACUUCUUUUAUAAAGGAAUAAAACGAGGCACGUGUGCCUUUUUGCAUGUACUUUAUGAAUAAGGAUCGGCUAACUCCGUUCCAGCAGCCGCGGUAAUACGGAGGAUCCGAGCGUUAUCCGGAUUUAUUGGGUUUAAAGGGAGCGUAGAUGGGUUGUUAAGUCAGUUGUGAAAGUUUGCGGCUCAACCGGAAAAUGGCAAUUGAUACUGGCAGUCUUGAGUACAGUUGAGGUAGGCGGAAUUCGUGGUGUAGCGGUGAAAUGCGUAGAUAUAACGAAGAACCCCGAUUGCGAAGGCAGCUUACUAAACUGUGACUGACAUUGAUGCUCGAAAGUGUGGGGAUCAAACAGGAUUAGAUACCCGUGUAGUC
This 460-nucleotide ribosomal RNA is filed under the name uncultured bacterium. RNAcentral's name for it is "partial 16S ribosomal RNA". It matches the Rfam family "Bacterial small subunit ribosomal RNA", at positions 338 to 795 of the family's 1533-position model. The record is from RNAcentral.